GGAGAGGUGCCAGAGUGGCCGAUCGGGCUCGCUUGGAAAGCGAGUGUACCUUCGCGGGUACCGAGGGUUCGAAUCCCUCCUUCUCCG
RNAcentral lists this transfer RNA (87 nucleotides) under Marivirga salinarum. RNAcentral describes it as "Marivirga sp. BDSF4-3 tRNA-Ser". It matches the Rfam family "tRNA". Rfam says of the family: Transfer RNA (tRNA) molecules are approximately 80 nucleotides in length. Their secondary structure includes four short double-helical elements and three loops (D, anti-codon, and T loops). Lineage: Bacteria; Pseudomonadati; Bacteroidota; Cytophagia; Cytophagales; Marivirgaceae. The record is from RNAcentral.